UGGUUGGUGAUGUAGAAAACCUCUGUGAA
Molecule: non-coding RNA, 29 nt
Filed under: Mus musculus (house mouse)
Lineage: Eukaryota; Metazoa; Chordata; Mammalia; Rodentia; Muridae
Source: RNAcentral